RNAcentral lists this long non-coding RNA (2883 nucleotides) under Sorghum bicolor (sorghum). Its description in RNAcentral is "long non-coding RNA (SBIC_LNC007942)". The record is from RNAcentral. Lineage: Eukaryota; Viridiplantae; Streptophyta; Magnoliopsida; Poales; Poaceae.
GGGUGCCUCUGCCGCCGCCGCCGCGCCGUUCCCAAUUCUACGUUGUAUUCAUUCAUCGUAUUGGUGCUUUGCUUCUGAAGCUCGCGAACGCCGGCCUCGUGCCGGCCGCCGCGGCAUCUCCGCGGCGGCCAUUUGCUCGUUCACUUCUUUUGUCCUCGAGUUUCGGCUUCGCUGUGGUUUUUAGUUGAGUUACCAAGUUAUUGCCUCCUUGAAUUUGGAUGUCUGCUGAAAAAAGUUACCUCCUUCAGUUGCAUGUUUAAUUUCCAUCUAAUGUUCCGGAUUGCUCUCUGUUCUGCAGGUGCCCUGUUCGUGACGUGUUUUUUGGCUGUGCCUGUUUGCAAUCUGCAGAGGAGAAGACACUGUGAGAUUUGAGUACUUUCUAUCUACGGUAGAUGUUUUAUGGCAUACGCCCAACAUUGUGUCCUCAUAUUACUCUCCAUGUUUUUUUGUUUUAUUAGCUUACGGUGUCCUCAAAUCGGUGCAACUGUGCUGCUGGGUGUCGUCUUUUCUGCUGGCUUACUCUUUUCUGAGCAGGUGAGUUCCUAUUUCCUAUAUGUGAUCCAUCGAUUUAUUUUUUGCUGUGCAAUAUAUUUGGUUUAUCUGAAUUCAUGCAUUUGAUAUAGUUAAUGUUCCCUGGAAUUUUGCUACUGCUGUUCUUGGUAAUUAUAUUUUAAAACAAUAAAUUGUAAUACAAUACAAAGCAAUGCUUUCUGGAAAUUUUGCUACUAUUGUUCUUGGUGUUGAUAUUAAAAAAAUAGCUAUAUUAAUCUUAGGUUCCAUUGUGAUCUGCCGAAGUAGCCACGUUGCCCUGAUAUUUUAAAAAAAUACAGCAAAAUUAAAUACAAAGGCGCACUAAUGCUUGCGUUAUUACUUAACACAUUUUAAAAGAAAAUGCCUUUCCUGAUAGUAGCGCCUAAACAUUUUUUUACAACCUAAACUAAAAUAAAAAGCCGCACUGAUGCUUGUGUUAUUAAUUAACACAUUUUUAAAGAAAAUGACUUUCCUGAUGCUAGCGUCCAAGUUUUUCUUUACAGCCUGUGUUUUACUCUUCAUGGAUGAAGGUGCUCGAUCAGGUGUGCCUUAUCAAUGUACGACCUGACAAUAUGCCCCAAACAAUGUGCUCUUUCUCCUAUGCUCUGUCAAAAUUAUUGUAAACAUCGUAUCAUAUUCUUUUGUCCUCCCUUAUUUAUCCUACCUAAUAAUAUCAUGAUAGAUGGUUUCCAUCGUCAUACCAUUUCAUCCCCUGAGGCCACUGCACGUCGUCUUGCGCGUAGACGACGUUUGCAUCCAUAUACUACGAUAUUCUCAGGUAUCCAUAUCGUGUGGCCAUUGCUAUGCUCUCAUAUUCAGGUGAUCUUAGUCACGGAUGGUUAUCAUGUCUGCUGGUUCUUCCUUUUAGGACAAACAGAGAGGUCUCAGUUAGACGCUGCUUUACCUAUGCAAGCAGUAAACACCUGUAUCCUGUUGUUCUUCCGGUCUCUACACAGGCCUAUUAGGCUUUGUUGCGUGCUGCUGGAGGUAUACUUAUAUGCUUGUGUCCUUGGUAGGUUGAAGAUCCAUUUAUCUGAUAUGGUUUUCCAUAUUCUCUUUUCUAUUGCUUAAGUUACUCCUGAUCGUCAUGUUGCAUCUAAUCUACAAGCAACACGAUCUCGAAAGAUACGGAUAAAGAAGUUGGAUCAGCGUGCUUUAGCUCAAACAGGUUCUAUGUUGUCCAAAGCAUCCUCUUAUUCUAUGCUCUGUUUGUCUUGUCUACUCCUUUUCACAUGCUCCCAUCGAUGCCUACGCAGGAAGGCUUAGUCUGCAAACCAGAACCUCUGUCUGUGGUCAUUUUGAUGAAUCCUUCGUCGAUGCUCUCAAAGGUGUACCCUUCUGUUUUAUAUAUAUAGCCUCCUGCAUAUAAAAGUUCCUUAUACAUACAGCCUAUGUACGACCCUAAAAAAACUUUAUUUUCUUAUUGCUAGCAUCACAUCCAGGAAGAUAUGGCCCACCAGAUCUUCGUUGUUUCUCACUGUAAUGCAGUCUUUUGGUUCCAUGAAAGGGUUCGUCGUGCUUUUCCACACUAUGGAAACCAAGCCAUCUAUAAUAGCUGUUGUAAAGCUAGUAGAGUUGUUAUACCUCCGUUCAAGCCUCGUCCAGAGCCUUUGGCUCCAUUGGCUAGGUAUGAUGGAGAUGCGCGAUGCAAUAAAUUUAUGAAAACAUAAGGCAGUAUAACUGUCUCUUUGCUUUUACUUCGAUGGGAGCAAAUAUAGACCGCUCAAUGAAUGAUGGUCGUGGUCCUCCUGUGUUUAAAAUCUGCGGUCAACCUAUAUUAAUCCAUUACUGCACCAACCAAACAGGCUAGGUAACUUCACAAUGUACAGAAACGCGGCAAUUCAACUCUAACACAUAAAUUACAUAUUUGCUAACAUUUUUUUCCCAAACAUAAAAACAGGUUUCAUGGAGCAAUGCUACAGCCCAAAGCUGGACGAUGAGGCAACAUCGGCAGAUCCAGAUGCAGGUAUAAUAAAAAUAUUUAAAGAUCAUUUACCAAACCUUAGUAAUAUAUACAUCAAAAUCUUUCAAAAUUCCAACACAAAAUAGUAAGAAAAGUUUAUGUCUUCACAGAAAUUGAGAGGUUCUCUCCGGUACGCAAUUCCAGUGAGCACGAAUGUGGGUACGAAUCUGAUCGAAGUAUGAAUUACUGAUCAGAAGAUGCAGACACCGAUAUAAAUACCCCCAACAACUCAGCUUACUAAUCUCAUGCAAUGUCCUAUGUUAGUGUUGUCUACAACUUUUGUAAAUUAGAGACAAUCUGUGAUGCUUGACUCUCAAUUCUCUAUAUCACUCUAUUACCAAUCUGGCAGCUACUAAAAAUUAUCAUCAGCUCAUGUAAUUAAUCUGCGG